RNAcentral lists this ribosomal RNA (379 nucleotides) under uncultured bacterium. RNAcentral describes it as "partial 16S ribosomal RNA". It matches the Rfam family "Bacterial small subunit ribosomal RNA", at positions 338 to 734 of the family's 1533-position model. The record is from RNAcentral.
CCUACGGGAGGCAGCAGUGGGGGAUAUUGCACAAUGGGGGAAACCCUGAUGCAGCGACGCCGCGUGAGCGAUGAAGUAUUUCGGUAUGUAAAGCUCUAUCAGCAGGGAAGAAAAUGACGGUACCUGACUAAGAAGCCCCGGCUAACUACGUGCCAGCAGCCGCGGUAAUACGUUGGGGGCAAGCGUUCUCCGGAUUUACUGGGUGGAAAGGGAGCGUAGACGGCAGUGCAAGUCUGAAAUGAAAGGCAAGGGCUCAAACCUUGGACUGCUUUGGAAACUGUGCUGCUGGAGUGUCGGAGAGGCAAGUGGAAUUCCUAGUGUAGCGGUGGAAUGCGUAGAUAUUAGGAGGAACACCAGUGGCGAAGGCGGCUUGCUGGAC